ACAGCAGUCGCCACGGUAAUACAGAGGAUGCAAGCGUUAUCCGGAAUGAUUGGGCGUAAAGCGUCUGUAGGUGGCUUUUCAAGUCCGCCGUCAAAUCCCAGGGCUCAACCCUGGACAGGCGGUGGAAACUACCAGGCUGGAGUACGGUAUGGGCAGAGGGAAUUUCCGGUGGAGCGGUGAAAUGCGUUGAGAUCGGAAAGAACACAACGGCGAAAGCACUCUGCUGGGCCGACACUGACACUGAGAGACGAAAGCUAGGGGAGCAAAUGGGAUUAGAUACCCCCGUAGUCCCUGUCUCUUAUACA
This 305-nucleotide ribosomal RNA is filed under the name uncultured bacterium. Its description in RNAcentral is "partial 16S ribosomal RNA". It matches the Rfam family "Bacterial small subunit ribosomal RNA", at positions 505 to 808 of the family's 1533-position model. The record is from RNAcentral.